RNAcentral lists this ribosomal RNA (625 nucleotides) under uncultured Acetivibrio sp. Its description in RNAcentral is "bacterial SSU rRNA". It matches the Rfam family "Bacterial small subunit ribosomal RNA", at positions 28 to 658 of the family's 1533-position model. The record is from RNAcentral. Lineage: Bacteria; Bacillati; Bacillota; Clostridia; Acetivibrionales; Acetivibrionaceae.
GAUGAACGCUGGCGGCGUGCCUAACACAUGCAAGUCGAGCGGAGAUUGUAGAAGUAGCAAUACGGACACAAUUUUAGCGGCGGACGGGUGAGUAACACGUGAGUAACCUGCCUUCUACAGGGGAAUAACACCGUGAAAAUGGUGCUAAUACCGCAUAACAUUGCACUGUGGCAUCACAGAGCAAUCAAAGGAGCAAUCCGGUAGAAGAUGGACUCGCGUCCGAUUAGCUAGUUGGAGGGGUAAUGGCCCACCAAGGCGACGAUCGGUAGCCGAACUGAGAGGUUGAUCGGCCACAUUGGGACUGAGACACGGCCCAGACUCCUACGGGAGGCAGCAGUGGGGAAUAUUGGGCAAUGGGCGCAAGCCUGACCCAGCAACGCCGCGUGAAGGAAGAAGGCUUUCGGGUUGUAAACUUCUUUGAUCAGGGACGAAAAAAAUGACGGUACCUGAAAAACAAGCCACGGCUAACUACGUGCCAGCAGCCGCGGUAAUACGUAGGUGGCAAGCGUUAUCCGGAUUUACUGGGUGUAAAGGGCGUGUAGGCGGUUUCGUAAGUCGGAUGUGAAAUUCCCAAGCUUAACUUGGGCGCUGCAUCCGAAACUGCAGACUUGAGUACUGGAGAGGA